Small nuclear RNA from Psammomys obesus (fat sand rat), 105 nucleotides. NCBI's taxonomy places the organism in Eukaryota, Metazoa, Chordata, Mammalia, Rodentia, Muridae. The record is from RefSeq and is a predicted model, not a curated record.
GUUUGCUUUGGCAGUACAUUUACUAAAAUUGGAACGAUACAGAGAAGAUUAGCAUGGCCUCUGAGCAAAGAUGACGCGCAAAUCCAUGAAGCAUUCCAUAUCUUU